RNAcentral lists this long non-coding RNA (383 nucleotides) under Carica papaya (papaya). RNAcentral describes it as "long non-coding RNA (CPAP_LNC010131)". Lineage: Eukaryota; Viridiplantae; Streptophyta; Magnoliopsida; Brassicales; Caricaceae. The record is from RNAcentral.
CAGAGAAAUUCUGUAGAAAGGACUGUAGGAAAUUUUACCCUGCUUGUGCGGGCGCCACGUGCUACGCACACAUGCGUGUAGUUAGCGCGGGAUGUGCGCCUAUGUGCACAUACUAUUCGUGUGAGGCGUGAGGCUUGCAGUCUGCACAUGUUGCUCUCAGGCUACGUCGUGCCACCCCUUGGGCGGUGUGCGCCACCCUUUGGGGGUGUGUGCUGCUGUCAUUUGGGCAGUGUGUCUUCAGUCUUCGUGCUGCCAUCAUGUCAUCGUCAUCUCGUCAGUCGUUCGUCAGUAAUGUCUGUCAGUCGUCAUGUCGCAUCGAUCACUUUUUCCCCUCUAUCUCUCCUCAUGGGUUUCCAUUGCUUGAUUGAAAUCCAACGGUUCUC